RNAcentral lists this ribosomal RNA (320 nucleotides) under uncultured Chloroflexota bacterium. RNAcentral's name for it is "bacterial SSU rRNA". It matches the Rfam family "Bacterial small subunit ribosomal RNA", at positions 28 to 351 of the family's 1533-position model. The record is from RNAcentral. Lineage: Bacteria; Bacillati; Chloroflexota.
GAUGAACGCUGGCGGCGUGCUUAACACAUGCAAGUCGAACGGGUGCUCUGGGCAACUGGAGCGCUAGUGGCAAACGGGUGCGUAACACGUGGGUGACCUACCCCGAAGUGGGGAACAACAGACCGAAAGGUUUGCUAAUACCGCAUAUGCUCGGUUCUUCAUUGAACUGAGAAAAGCCGCAAGGCGCUUUGGGAGGGGCCCGCGGCCCAUCAGGUAGUUGGUAGGGUAAUGGCCUACCAAGCCGAUGACGGGUAGCUGGUCUGAGAGGACGAUCAGCCACACUGGCACUGAGAUACGGGCCAGACUCCUACGGGUGGCAG